GGACGGGUGAGUAACAUUUAGGAAUCUGCCUAGUAGUGGGGGAUAGCUCGGGGAAACUCGAAUUAAUACCGCAUACGACCUACGGGUGAAAGGGGGCGCAAGCUCUUGCUAUUAGAUGAGCCUAAAUCAGAUUAGCUAGUUGGUGGGGUAAAGGCCCACCAAGGCGACGAUCUGUAACUGGUCUGAGAGGAUGAUCAGUCACACCGGAACUGAGACACGGUCCGGACUCCUACGGGAGGCAGCAGUGGGGAAUAUUGGACAAUGGGGGCAACCCUGAUCCAGCCAUGCCGCGUGUGUGAAGAAGGCCUUUUGGUUGUAAAGCACUUUAAGCAGGGAGGAGAGGCUAAUGGUUAAUACCCAUUAGAUUAGACGUUACCUGCAGAAUAAGCACCGGCUAACUCUGUGCCAGCAGCCGCGGUAAUACAGAGGGUGCGAGCGUUAAUCGGAAUUACUGGGCGUAAAGCGAGUGUAGGUGGCUCAUUAAGUCACAUGUGAAAUCCCCGGGCUUAACCUGGGAACUGCAUGUGAUACUGGUGGUGCUAGAAUAUGUGAGAGGGAAGUAGAAUUCCAGGUGUAGCGGUGAAAUGCGUAGAGAUCUGGAGGAAUACCGAUGGCGAAGGCAGCUUCCUGGCAUAAUAUUGACACUGAGAUUCGAAAGCGUGGGUAGCAAACAGGAUUAGAUACCCUGGUAGUCCACGCCGUAAACGAUGUCUACUAGCCGUUGGGGUCCUUGAGACUUUAGUGGCGCAGUUAACGCGAUAAGUAGACCGCCUGGG
Molecule: ribosomal RNA, 776 nt
Filed under: Moraxella sp. 35
Lineage: Bacteria; Pseudomonadati; Pseudomonadota; Gammaproteobacteria; Moraxellales; Moraxellaceae
Description: bacterial SSU rRNA
Rfam family: Bacterial small subunit ribosomal RNA
Source: RNAcentral